GGGCGAAUGGUGAAAUUGGUAGACACGCAAGCUUGAGGGGCUUGUGGCCGCAAGGCUGUGGAGGUUCGAGUCCUCUUUCGCCCA
This 84-nucleotide transfer RNA is filed under the name Patescibacteria group bacterium. Its description in RNAcentral is "tRNA-Leu". It matches the Rfam family "tRNA". From Rfam's summary of the family: Transfer RNA (tRNA) molecules are approximately 80 nucleotides in length. Their secondary structure includes four short double-helical elements and three loops (D, anti-codon, and T loops). RNAcentral also lists the same sequence under 1 other name. The record is from RNAcentral.